UCGAACGGGAAAUAUUUCAUUGAGACUUCGGUGGAUUUGAUCUAUUUCUAGUGGCGGACGGGUGAGUAACGCGUGGGUAACCUGCCUUAUACAGGGGGAUAACAGUCAGAAAUGACUGCUAAUACCGCAUAAGCGCACAGGACCGCAUGGUCCGGUGUGAAAAACUCCGGUGGUAUAAGAUGGACCCGCGUUGGAUUAGCUAGUUGGUGAGGUAACGGCCCACCAAGGCGACGAUCCAUAGCCGGCCUGAGAGGGUGAACGGCCACAUUGGGACUGAGACACGGCCCAGACUCCUACGGGAGGCAGCAGUGGGGAAUAUUGCACAAUGGGGGAAACCCUGAUGCAGCGACGCCGCGUGAAGGAAGAAGUAUCUCGGUAUGUAAACUUCUAUCAGCAGGGAAGAUAGUGACGGUACCUGACUAAGAAGCCCCGGCUAACUACGUGCCAGCAGCCGCGGUAAUACGUAGGGGGCAAGCGUUAUCCGGAUUUACUGGGUGUAAAGGGAGCGUAGACGGUGUGGCAAGUCUGAUGUGAAAGGCAUGGGCUCAACCUGUGGACUGCAUUGGAAACUGUCAUACUUGAGUGCCGGAGGGGUAAGCGGAAUUCCUAGUGUAGCGGUGAAAUGCGUAGAUAUUAGGAGGAACACCAGUGGCGAAGGC
RNAcentral lists this ribosomal RNA (659 nucleotides) under uncultured Lachnospiraceae bacterium. RNAcentral describes it as "bacterial SSU rRNA". It matches the Rfam family "Bacterial small subunit ribosomal RNA", at positions 62 to 722 of the family's 1533-position model. Lineage: Bacteria; Bacillati; Bacillota; Clostridia; Lachnospirales; Lachnospiraceae. The record is from RNAcentral.